GUAGCUGGUCUGAGAGGAUGACCAGCCACACUGGAACUGAGACACGGUCCAGACUCCUACGGGAGGCAGCAGUGGGGAAUAUUGGACAAUGGGGGAAACCCUGAUCCAGCAAUGCCGCGUGUGUGAAGAAGGCCUGAGGGUUGUAAAGCACUUUCAGUGGGGAGGAGGGAUGAUAGGUUAAGAGCCAAUUAUUUGGACGUUACCCACAGAAGAAGCACCGGCUAACUCCGUGCCAGCAGCCGCGGUAAUACGGAGGGUGCGAGCGUUAAUCGGAAUUACUGGGCGUAAAGAGUGCGUAGGUGGUUAAUUAAGUUAUCUGUGAAAUCCCUGGGCUUAACCUGGGCAGGUCAGAUGAUACUGAUUGACUCGAGUACGG
Molecule: ribosomal RNA, 376 nt
Filed under: uncultured Legionella sp.
Lineage: Bacteria; Pseudomonadati; Pseudomonadota; Gammaproteobacteria; Legionellales; Legionellaceae
Description: bacterial SSU rRNA
Rfam family: Bacterial small subunit ribosomal RNA
Source: RNAcentral